Zingiber officinale is the source of this 1776-nucleotide RNA transcript. It is a transcript of the gene named zinc finger CCCH domain-containing protein 1-like, with no coding region annotated. The transcript has 4 exons. Lineage: Eukaryota; Viridiplantae; Streptophyta; Magnoliopsida; Zingiberales; Zingiberaceae. The record is from RefSeq and is a predicted model, not a curated record.
CAUUCAUCUCAUGCUCGUCAACCCCAAUUUUGAUGGCUUCCAUGACGAGCGAUUUCUGUAUUUUCUUCCGCAAGCCGAAGGCUGCAAAGAACAUCCGCAAGAGAAAAAAAGUCGACUCCGACGAAGAAGUCUCCGGCGAUGAUAUUCCGUAUUCCAGUCCCGCGACGAAGAAGUCCGCCGGGCUUUCCUUCUCUUCGUCUUCGUCUGGGGUUGGCUCCCUGUUCCAGUUCGAUUCGUCCAAGGAGAUCCAGGUCAAGCACGACAGCCGCGCCACGGCUACGCUCGAGACGGAGACCGAGUUCUCCAAGUACGCCCGCGCCAUCCGCGAGCGGGUGCUGAAGAGGGCGGAGGAGGCUCUCAAGGGCAAAUCCAAGCCUUGCGGAGGGGGCAAUGAUAAGAUAUACAAGGGGAUCCACGGGUACACCGAUUACAAAGCAGGGUUCAGGAGAGAACAGACAGUAGCAGGUGAGAAGGCGAGCGGUGCCCAUGGACCACUGAGGGCAUCCGCACACAUCCGGUUGUCGGCUAGGUUUGAUUACCAGCCUGACAUCUGUAAGGACUAUAAGGAGACUGGGUAUUGUGGUUAUGGUGAUUCCUGUAAGUUUAUGCACGAUCGAGGGGAUUAUAAAUCAGGAUGGCAACUGGAGAAGGACUGGGAGGAGGCUGAGAAGGCAAGAAAAAAGAGACUCGCAGCAAGAAGUAGAGGAGACAACGAUGAGGCUGAUCAUGAGGAUGGCAAUGAUGAUGACGACGAAGCCGACGAUUCUCUUCCUUUUGCCUGUUUUAUAUGCAGACAACCUUUUGAGGAUCCGGUAGUGACCAAGUGCAAACACUACUUCUGUGAACAUUGUGCUCUAAAGCAUCAUGCAAAGAACAAGAAAUGUUUUGUCUGCAACAAACCAACUCUUGGCAUCUUCAAUACAGCACAUGAGAUACGGGAAAAGAUGGCAGAAGGUAAAUAAGAGGAACUGACAAUGAUGCGUGUCAAACCAGAAGUUACAUAGAAAACACUCUUAUUGGUCCUGUUGCUCAUCUGUUAGUUUGAUAUGUUGGAUUAUGGAAAAUAACUGAAAGUUUAACUUCGUGUGGAAACGUGGUCGGAGAUAUCAGCAUUUGUUAGACGCUCUUAUUGGUCCUGUUGCUCAUCUGUUAGUUUGAUAUGCUGGAUUAUGGAAAAUAACUGAAAGCUUAACUUCAUGUGGAAACGUGGUCGGAGAUAUCAUCAUACGCAUCUAAACACUUCAUCUCGGUGUGGAUAUCUGGGUUUUUAGUGCUGCUGAAGAAAGAAUGACCUGCUACAUCUGUGGUGCUGUUACUUUUCGUUAUGAGCUUCACUAAGUUGUCUGACAAUGCUUCGACACCUCUGACCCAGGCUCAUCCACAUCACUGGAGGAAGUUUCUACAUCAACAUCUAAGGAGGGCUUUGGAUGCAUCAAGCUAUACGUCAACAGUAUCCCAAGAAGAGAUAGCACAUUCAUCCAAAUGGAAUAUUAUUGCUCCUAUUAAUAUUGCAAGUUCACUCUGUUACUUUAGAUUCUUUGAAGCAUUUUUCUCUUACCUUUUGUCGACCUAACUCCCAACCUCCACAAGAUUCUUUCAAGCUCUAGCGGAGUUUGAUCGAUGUGCAAAGCCUAUAAGAGAACCAACUUGAUUUGAGUUAGUGUAAAGUAUUUUGAAUGUGACAUUGAUUUGAGUUGAAUUCUCGAAUCUAUCCACGCUUUGUGUUCCUUUUUUUGCCUUUGUAGCCCUAUUCUAAAUUAAUUUUUGUAGUAAAUU